This 468-nucleotide ribosomal RNA is filed under the name uncultured bacterium. RNAcentral's name for it is "partial 16S ribosomal RNA". It matches the Rfam family "Bacterial small subunit ribosomal RNA", at positions 28 to 507 of the family's 1533-position model. The record is from RNAcentral.
GAUGAACGCUGGCGGCGUGCUUAACACAUGCAAGUCGAACGGAAAGGCCCUGGUUUUGUGGGGUGCUCGAGUGGCGAACGGGUGAGUAACACGUGAGUGACCUGCCCUUGACUUUGGGAUAACUUCAGGAAACUGGGGCUAAUACCGGAUAGGACCUCCGGCUGCAUGGCGGGGGUUAGAGAGUUUCGGCGGUUGGGGAUGGACUCGCGGCUUAUCAGCUUGUUGGUGGGGUAGUGGACUACCAAGGCUUCGACGGGUAGCCGGCCUGAGGGGGUGAACGGCCACAUUGGGACUGAGAUACGGCCCAGACUCCUACGGGAGGCAGCAGUGGGGAAUAUUGCACAAUGGGCGGAAGCCUGAUGCAGCAACGCCGCGUGCGGGAUGACGGCCUUCGGGUUGUAAACCCCUUUCGCCAGUGACGAAGCGUGAGUGACGGUAAUUGGUGAAGAAGCACCGGCUAACUACGUG